This is a long non-coding RNA of Solea solea (common sole), 458 nucleotides long. RefSeq lists it as uncharacterized. NCBI's taxonomy places the organism in Eukaryota, Metazoa, Chordata, Actinopteri, Pleuronectiformes, Soleidae. The record is from RefSeq and is a predicted model, not a curated record. The transcript is spliced from 4 exons.
CUCCUUCCCUCCUUCCCUCCACCAGCGACCUGAGGAGCUGUCAGUCUGGAUCGCAGCGCUGUCAGUUCAGCCUGUCAGACCGGGAGACGCGUACUAAACAGCCGUGGACACUGAUAGACCUGUCAGGUGUGAUGACAGCCAUGCGUGAAGACAUGCGCAGACAGAAAUUGAGGUUGUGAAAGUGCAAACUGGAAAUCAGAGCACCAACAUGGCACCACAGAGUGAUUGGCAGUGACACAAACAUGUGAAAGUGCAGGAACUUCUCUCCAAGAACUGAAAGGUUUUCUGCAUUCAGUCAAGGCCUCUGGGGAAAAGGUAGCUCAACAAAAAAACAAAAAAAGAUGUGAAAGUCAAACAUCAACACCUCCAAAGCAAAGAUCAGCUUGGUUCAGAGAGGAGGGUGAUGGCUCUUCGGGGUCAACCACCAGCAGGAAAAACUCAGUUCCUCAACCAAAACC